AGCUCUCAGAGCGCGAGCCCAUCGCGCGUGCGCCCCAGUUCCCAGCGCGGAGCAGACCUGAGAGCGGGCUUGCAGAAAACUCCUACAAAUCAACAAGAAAAAGCCAGAUGUCCAGUAGAAAAUUGAGCAACAGACCUGACCAGUCCUGCAUGUGACUAUGCGGUUUUCCUAUACCAUUUAUUGAAGGGACUAUCCUUUCUCCAUUGAGUAUCUUGGCUCAUUGUCAAAUAUUAGUUGACUGAAUAUGUGUGGAUUUAUUUCUGGGCCUUUGGCUUGUUUUAUGCCAGUACCAUGCUGUUUUUAUUACUGUAACUUUGUAAUAACGUUCAAAAUAAGGAAGUAUAAUAAUGCCUCUAGUUUUGUUCUUUUUUUUUUAAGAUUACUUUGGCUAUUCAGGGUCUUUUUUGGUUCCAUAUGAAUUUUAGGAUUGUGUCUUCUAUUUCUGUGAAAAGUGUCAUUGGGAUUUUGAUAGCGAUGGCAUCCAAUCUGAGAUGUCUUUGGAUAAUCGUACAUCCACUUGAAAUAUUAUUUGUUGUCAUCUACUCCCAUUAAAUAUGUAUAUCCUAUAUCACCAAAUUCUUGUGUAACAAAAUGUAUGUCAAAAAUUAUCAUAAUUGCCCUUGUAAUAAUAAAAAAAACCCAGACAAAACCAAAGUGUUCACUGAAAGUAAAAUAGAUAAAUUUGGUAUGUUCAUAUAAUAAAAUUCUACAUGUCUAUGAAAAUGAACUACUAUUGCACAUAGUAAAAUAUAUACAUCUUACAAAUAUAAUGUUAUUAUAAGAAUCCAGUCCUGAAAGGAUCCAUUGUAUUAUUUCAUGUAUAUAAAGUUUAAAAGUAGGCAGUAUGAAUUUAUGGUGUCAGCAUAGUACUUAUCACGGGGGAGGAGGAAAGGACAAUGAUUAGGAGUGGCCUUGAGGGGCUUUUGGGGUGCUGCUACUAUUCUCUUUUUGGCCUUGGGCUGGCUACAUGAAUGUGUUCUCUUCCCGACAUUUCAUCAAGCUUAAUAUUUAUGGUCUUUUCUGUAUGUUACAUUUCAGUAAAAAUGUGAAAAAUAAAAAAGCAGCACCAUCAGAAAAAACAAAAAAUGUAAGGCAAGGACCC
Molecule: long non-coding RNA, 1102 nt
Filed under: Sus scrofa (pig)
Lineage: Eukaryota; Metazoa; Chordata; Mammalia; Artiodactyla; Suidae
Description: lncRNA (ENSSSCG00000048987.2, ENSSSCG00055014978.1)
Source: RNAcentral